GACGAACGCUGGCGGCGUGCCUAAUACAUGCAAGUAGAACGCUGAAGGAGGAGCUUGCUUCUCUGGAUGAGUUGCGAACGGGUGAGUAACGCGUAGGUAACCUGCCUGGUAGCGGGGGAUAACUAUUGGAAACGAUAGCUAAUACCGCAUAAUAGUAGAUGUUGCAUGACAUUUGCUUAAAAGGUGCAAUUGCAUCACUACCAGAUGGACCUGCGUUGUAUUAGCUAGUUGGUGAGGUAACGGCUCACCAAGGCAACGAUACAUAGCCGACCUGAGAGGGUGAUCGGCCGGCCUGGGACUGAGACGCGGCCCAGACUCCUACGGAAGGCAGCAGUAGGGAAUCGUCGGCAAUGGACGGAAGUCUGACCGAGCAACGCCGCGUGAGUGAAGAAGGUUUUCGGAUCGUAAAGCUCUGUUGUAAGAGAAGAACGAGUGUGAGAGUGGAAAGUUCACACUGUGACGGUAUCUUACCAGAAAGGGACGGCUAACUACGUG
RNAcentral lists this ribosomal RNA (495 nucleotides) under uncultured bacterium. RNAcentral's name for it is "partial 16S ribosomal RNA". It matches the Rfam family "Bacterial small subunit ribosomal RNA", at positions 28 to 507 of the family's 1533-position model. The record is from RNAcentral.